RNAcentral lists this ribosomal RNA (436 nucleotides) under Corynebacterium bovis. Its description in RNAcentral is "bacterial SSU rRNA". It matches the Rfam family "Bacterial small subunit ribosomal RNA", at positions 56 to 506 of the family's 1533-position model. Lineage: Bacteria; Bacillati; Actinomycetota; Actinomycetes; Mycobacteriales; Corynebacteriaceae. The record is from RNAcentral.
UGCAAGUCGAACGGAAAGGCCCCAGCUUGCUGGGGUACUCGAGUGGCGAACGGGUGAGUAACACGUGGGUGAUCUGCCCUGCACUCUGGGAUAAGCCUGGGAAACUGGGUCUAAUACCGGAUAGGACCGUGCUUUAGUGUGUGCGGUGGAAAGUUUUUCGGUGCAGGAUGAGCCCGCGGCCUAUCAGCUUGUUGGUGGGGUAAUGGCCUACCAAGGCGGCGACGGGUAGCCGGCCUGAGAGGGUGUACGGCCACAUUGGGACUGAGACACGGCCCAGACUCCUACGGGAGGCAGCAGUGGGGAAUAUUGCACAAUGGGCGCAAGCCUGAUGCAGCGACGCCGCGUGGGGGAUGACGGCCUUCGGGUUGUAAACCCCUUUCGGCAGGGACGAAGCUUUUGUGACGGUACCUGCAUAAGAAGCACCGGCUAACUACGU